GAUGAACGCUAGCGGCAGGCUUAACACAUGCAAGUCGAGGGGUAGAAGCAGCUUGCUGCUUUGAGACCGGCGCACGGGUGCGUAACGCGUAUGCAAUCUACCUUUUACAGAGGGAUAGCCCAGAGAAAUUUGGAUUAAUACCUCAUAGUAUGUGAGAAUCGCAUGGUUUUCACAUUAAAGUUCCAACGGUAAAAGAUGAGCAUGCGUCCCAUUAGCUAGAUGGUAAGGUAACGGCUUACCAUGGCGACGAUGGGUAGGGGUCCUGAGAGGGUGGUCCCCCACACUGGUACUGAGACACGGACCAGACUCCUACGGGAGGCAGCAGUGAGGAAUAUUGGUCAAUGGGCGCAAGCCUGAACCAGCCAUGCCGCGUGCAGGAAGACGGUCCUAUGGAUUGGUAAACUGCUUUUGUACAGGAAGAAACACUCCCUCGUGAGGGAGCUUGACGGUACUGUAAGAAUAAGGAUC
This 468-nucleotide ribosomal RNA is filed under the name uncultured bacterium. Its description in RNAcentral is "bacterial SSU rRNA". It matches the Rfam family "Bacterial small subunit ribosomal RNA", at positions 28 to 494 of the family's 1533-position model. The record is from RNAcentral.